RNAcentral lists this ribosomal RNA (253 nucleotides) under uncultured bacterium. Its description in RNAcentral is "partial 16S ribosomal RNA". It matches the Rfam family "Bacterial small subunit ribosomal RNA", at positions 524 to 776 of the family's 1533-position model. The record is from RNAcentral.
UACAGGGGGUGCAAACGUUGCUCGGAAUUAUUGGGCGUAAAGCGCGCGUAGGCGGCCACUUAAGUCGGAUGUGAAAGCCCCUGGCUCAACUGGGGAAGUGCACCCGAAACUGAAUGGCUUGAAUGCAAAAGAGGGUCGCGGAAUUCCUGGUGUAGCGGUGAAAUGCGCAGAUAUCAGGAGGAACACCGGUGGCGAAGGCGGGUCUCUGGGCCGAUACUGACGCUGAGGAGCGAAAGCAUGGGUAGCGAACAGG